RNAcentral lists this ribosomal RNA (253 nucleotides) under uncultured bacterium. RNAcentral's name for it is "partial 16S ribosomal RNA". It matches the Rfam family "Bacterial small subunit ribosomal RNA", at positions 524 to 776 of the family's 1533-position model. The record is from RNAcentral.
UACGUAGGGUGCAAGCGUUGUCCGGAAUUAUUGGGCGUAAAGAGCUCGUAGGCGGUUUGUCGCGUCGAAUGUGAAAACCCGGGGCUCAACCCCGGGCCUGCAUUCGAUACGGGCAGACUAGAGUUCGGUAGGGGAGUCUGGAAUUCCUGGUGUAGCGGUGAAAUGCGUAGAUAUCUGGAGGAACACCGGUGGCGAAAGCGGAUCACUGGAUCGAAACUGACGCUGAGGUGCGAAAGCUAGGGUAGCAAACGGG